CAGCCGCCGCGGGAAUACGAAGGGUGCAAGCGUUAAUCGGAAUUACUGGGCGUAAAGCGUGCGUAGGCGGUUUGUUAAGUCUGUUGUGAAAUCCCCGGGCUCAACCUGGGAAUGGCAAUGGAUACUGGCAAGCUAGAGUGUGUCAGAGGAUGGUGGAAUUCCCGGUGUAGCGGUGAAAUGCGUAGAGAUCGGGGGGAACACCAGUGGCGAAGGCGGCCAUCUGGGACAACACUGACGCUGAGGCACGAAAGCGUGGGGAGCAAACAGGAUUAGAUACCCCUGUAGUCCCUGUCUCUUAUAC
This 301-nucleotide ribosomal RNA is filed under the name uncultured bacterium. Its description in RNAcentral is "partial 16S ribosomal RNA". It matches the Rfam family "Bacterial small subunit ribosomal RNA", at positions 509 to 807 of the family's 1533-position model. The record is from RNAcentral.